Molecule: ribosomal RNA, 460 nt
Filed under: uncultured bacterium
Lineage: Bacteria
Description: partial 16S ribosomal RNA
Rfam family: Bacterial small subunit ribosomal RNA
Source: RNAcentral
CCUACGGGAGGCAGCAGUGAGGAAUAUUGGUCAAUGGACGCGAGUCUGAACCAGCCAAGUAGCGUGAAGGAUGACUGCCCUACGGGUUGUAAACUUCUUUUAUAUGGGAAUAAAAUGUUCCACGUGUGCCAUUUUGUAUGUACCUUAUGAAUAAGGAUCGGCUAACUCCGUGCCAGCAGCCGCGGUAAUACGGAGGAUCCGAGCGUUAUCCGGAUUUAUUGGGUUUAAAGGGAGCGUAGAUGGGUUGUUAAGUCAGUUGUGAAAGUUUGCGGCUCAACCGUAAAAUUGCAAUUGAAACUGGCAGUCUUGAGUACAGUAGAGGUAGGCGGAAUUCGUGGUGUAGCGGUGAAAUGCUUAGAUAUCACGAAGAACUCCGAUUGCGAAGGCAGCUCACUGGACUGCAACUGACACUGAGGCUCGAAAGUGUGGGUAUCAAACAGGAUUAGAUACCCCAGUAGUC